UAGUCUUUUAAUUGGAGGCUUGUAUGAAUGGUUGAAUGAGAUAUAUACUGUCUUUUUUAAAAUUAUAUAGAAUUUUAUUUUUUAAUUAAAAAGUUAAAAUAAAAUUAAAGGACGAGAAGACCCUAUAGAUCUUUAUUUUUGUUAUUUAUAAAUUAAAAAGAAUUUUAAAAUUUAUAAUUUAAUAAAAAAUUUUAUUGGGGUGAUAUUAAAAUUUAAAAAACUUUUAAAAUUUAUUAACAUAAAUAUAUGAAUAAAUGAUCCAGUUUUAUUGAUUAAAAAUUUAAGUUACCUUAGGGAUAACAGCGUAAUUUUUUUUUAGAGUUCAUAUCGACAAAAAAGAUUGCGACCUCGAUGUUGGAUUAAGAGU
Molecule: ribosomal RNA, 367 nt
Filed under: Culex quinquefasciatus (southern house mosquito)
Lineage: Eukaryota; Metazoa; Arthropoda; Insecta; Diptera; Culicidae
Description: partial 16S ribosomal RNA
Source: RNAcentral